GACGAACGCUGGCGGCGUGCUUAACACAUGCAAGUCGAACGGAAAGGCCCUGCUUUUGUGGGGUGCUCGAGUGGCGAACGGGUGAGUAACACGUGAGUAACCUGCCCUUGACUUUGGGAUAACUUCAGGAAACUGGGGCUAAUACCGGAUAGGAGCUCCUGCUGCAUGGUGGGGGUUGGAAAGUUUCGGCGGUUGGGGAGGGACUCGCGGCUUAUCAGCUUGUUGGUGGGGUAGUGGCUUACCAAGGCUUUGACGGGUAGCCGGCCUGAGAGGGUUACCGGCCACAUUGGGACUGAGAUACGGCCCAGACUACUACGGGAGGCAGCAGUGGGGAAUAUUGCACAAUGGGCGGAAGCCUGAUGCAGCAACGCCGCGUGCGGGAUGACGGCCUUCGGGUUGUAAACCGCUUUCGCCUGUGACGAAGCGUGAGUGACGGUAAUGGGUAAAGAAGCACCGGCUAACUACGUG
RNAcentral lists this ribosomal RNA (468 nucleotides) under uncultured bacterium. RNAcentral describes it as "partial 16S ribosomal RNA". It matches the Rfam family "Bacterial small subunit ribosomal RNA", at positions 28 to 507 of the family's 1533-position model. The record is from RNAcentral.